RNAcentral lists this long non-coding RNA (220 nucleotides) under Physcomitrium patens. Its description in RNAcentral is "long non-coding RNA (PPAT_LNC000699)". Lineage: Eukaryota; Viridiplantae; Streptophyta; Bryopsida; Funariales; Funariaceae. The record is from RNAcentral.
UGGGUGUCAGACUAUUUACUUUUACUAGCAUGUCAAUAGUCAUUAUUUAAUUUAAAAUCUUUUGUUGUGGUCACACUCGAUAUUGUGUUGAGGUUAUUACAAGCUACUCUUAAAAGUCAAUUGAGAGAUAAAAAGGCAUUAUAAUAGUGGAGUCCAAUGUAGAAAUUAUAAUAUAGAAGAUAUGAUAGAGCAAUCCUAGAUGGAUGCUCAAAUACAACAC